Molecule: ribosomal RNA, 260 nt
Filed under: Bradyrhizobium sp.
Lineage: Bacteria; Pseudomonadati; Pseudomonadota; Alphaproteobacteria; Hyphomicrobiales; Nitrobacteraceae
Description: partial 16S ribosomal RNA
Rfam family: Bacterial small subunit ribosomal RNA
Source: RNAcentral
UUAACACAUGCAAGUCGAGCGGGCAUAGCAAUAUGUCAGCGGCAGACGGGUGAGUAACGCGUGGGAACGUACCUUUUGGUUCGGAACAACACAGGGAAACUUGUGCUAAUACCGGAUAAGCCCUUACGGGGAAAGAUUUAUCGCCGAAAGAUCGGCCCGCGUCUGAUUAGCUAGUUGGUGGGGUAAUGGCCCACCAAGGCGACGAUCAGUAGCUGGUCUGAGAGGAUGAUCAGCCACAUUGGGACUGAGACACGGCCCAA